GAUGAACGCUGGCGGCGUGCCUAAUACAUGCAAGUCGAACGCGCCGAGAAGGGAACUUGUUCCUUUCAACGCGAGUGGCGAACGGGUGAGUAACACGUGUGAAACCUACCCUUCAGCGGGGGAUAACCAUCGGAAACGAUGACUAAUACCGCAUAGUUGUUCCAUUCGCAUGACUGUAAUGGGAAAGACGGCUUCGUCUGUCACUGUAGGAUUGUCCCGCGGUGCAUUAGCUAGACGGUGGGGUAACGGCCUACCGUGGCUUUGAUGCAUAGCCGACCUGAGAGGGUGAUCGGCCACAUUGGGACUGAGACACGGACCAAACUCCUACGGGAGGCAGCAGUAGGGAAUCUUACGCAAUGGACGCAAGUCUGACGGAGCAACGCCGCGUGUGGGAAGAAGGUCUUCGGAUCGUAAAGCACUGUUAUCAGAGAAGAAUAGCCAAUAGAGUAACUGUUAUAGGUUUGACGGUAACUGAUCAGAAAGCCACGGCUAACUACGUG
RNAcentral lists this ribosomal RNA (500 nucleotides) under uncultured bacterium. RNAcentral describes it as "partial 16S ribosomal RNA". It matches the Rfam family "Bacterial small subunit ribosomal RNA", at positions 28 to 507 of the family's 1533-position model. The record is from RNAcentral.